This 464-nucleotide ribosomal RNA is filed under the name uncultured bacterium. RNAcentral's name for it is "bacterial SSU rRNA". It matches the Rfam family "Bacterial small subunit ribosomal RNA", at positions 339 to 796 of the family's 1533-position model. The record is from RNAcentral.
CUACGGGAGGCAGCAGUAAGGAAUCUUGCGCAAUGGGCGAAAGCCUGACGCAGCGACGCCGCGUGAGUGAUGAAGGCCUUCGGGUUGUAAAGCUCUGUGGAGGGGGAAGAAUAAGGGUGACCUAAUACGUCAUCUGAUGACGGUACCCCUUUAGCAAGCACCGGCUAACUCUGUGCCAGCAGCCGCGGUAAUACAGAGGGUGCAAACGUUGUUCGGAUUUACUGGGCGUAAAGCGCGUGUAGGCGGCUUGGCAAGUCGGGUGUGAAAGCCCUGGGCUCAACCUAGGAAGUGCACUCGAAACUGCCUCGCUGGAGUCUCGGAGAGGAAAGCGGAAUUCUCGGUGUAGAGGUGAAAUUCGUAGAUAUCGAGAGGAACAUCGGUGGCGAAGGCGGCUUUCUGGACGACGACUGACGCUGAGACGCGAAAGCGUGGGGAGCAAACAGGAUUAGAAACCCGUGUAGUCC